This 630-nucleotide ribosomal RNA is filed under the name Desportesius invaginatus. RNAcentral's name for it is "SSU rRNA". It matches the Rfam family "Eukaryotic small subunit ribosomal RNA", at positions 457 to 1094 of the family's 1831-position model. The record is from RNAcentral. Lineage: Eukaryota; Metazoa; Nematoda; Chromadorea; Rhabditida; Acuariidae.
UGAGGAGGUAGUGACGAAAAAUAACGUGACCGUUCUCUUCGAGGCCGGUUAUCGGAAUGGGUACAAUUUAAACCAGUUAACGAGGAUCUAUGAGAGGGCAAGUCUGGUGCCAGCAGCCGCGGUAAUUCCAGCUCUCAAAGUGUAUAUCGUCAUUGCUGCGGUUAAAAAGCUCGUACUUGGAUCUGCGCCUCAGGAAGCCGGUCCGUCCUUUGGACGAGAACUGGUCGCCUAGGCUAGUACUGUCGGUUUUCCCUGCGUUGCCUUGAUCGGUCGCGUAGGGUGGCCGGCGAGUUUACCUUGAAAAAAUUAGAGUGCUCAACGCGGGCUGACGCCUGAAUACUCGUGCAUGGAAUAAUGAAAUAGGAUCUCGGUUCUAUAUUGUUGGUUUUCUGAUCUGAGAUAAUGGUUAAGAGGGACGGACGGGGGCAUUCGUAUCGCUGCGUGAGAGGUGAAAUUCUUGGACCGUAGCGAGACGCCCGACUGCGAAAGCAUUUGCCAAGAAUGUCUUCAUUAAUCAAGAACGAAAGACAGAGGUUCGAAGGCGAUCAGAUACCGCCCUAGUUCUGACCGUAAACGAUACCAACUAGCGUUCCGUCGGUGGUAAAUACGCCUUGACGGGCAGCUUCCCGG